Molecule: long non-coding RNA, 728 nt
Organism: Hippopotamus amphibius kiboko
Lineage: Eukaryota; Metazoa; Chordata; Mammalia; Artiodactyla; Hippopotamidae
Exons: 3
Source: RefSeq, a predicted model, not a curated record
CACGCCUCUGCCCUGGAGCAGCUGCUUCAUGCUGGGGCAGCACUCGGGCGGGGAGGGCUGUGCUUCGCCCCAGAGGGAGAGGCCUCAGAGGGCACGUCUGGAGUUAUGCGCCAUCUGGCUCCCUGGGCCUCAGGGUCUGGCCCCGAGGAGUCAAGGCAGACACGGUGAAGCCUCCCCGCCUUGGGAUUCCGCCCCACACCGGGCCAGCUCCUACCUGGCUGUACACUGUAGGGGCUGGCAAGGCUGGCCACAGCGAGCUCUGGCUUACCUAGGGCUUGGUUGAUCCCGUGAUGCUUUGAGAGGGCCACGAGGAACCCAUAGAAGCUUAGGGGGACGUCUAAAGCCAAGACGGAGGGCCCUGCCUGUCCUGGGAGCCCGAGGACCCCGGGCAGACGGCAGAUCUGCAGGAGCCCGGCCUCGCUGUGGACAGAAAGGCUGGCCUGUCCACCCACUGUCAAGGCCAAUCUCUCUCCUGGCAAGAAGGGGCCCAGGCAGGCCAUCUGCAGCUGCUCCUGCCCACGUGAGAGCAACCCUUCCUGUAAGCCGCCUGGGAAGCCUUUCAGCCAACAGCCUGGACUAGGGGCAAAUACCACUGGUCUAAUGUAUCCCGUGACCAUCAAGGGCCUAGAAACCCUGGGCCAGUCAAGACACCUGCUGGAGUUCUGUCCGGGCCAGCAGCCUGCAGCCCCGGGGGCCGAGGCGGGGCUGCGUGCCCAGUUCUCACCUGU